Micropterus dolomieu (smallmouth bass) is the source of this 840-nucleotide long non-coding RNA. RefSeq lists it as uncharacterized. The transcript has 2 exons. The record is from RefSeq and is a predicted model, not a curated record. Lineage: Eukaryota; Metazoa; Chordata; Actinopteri; Centrarchiformes; Centrarchidae.
GCCACGGCAGGGAAACAGGAGGCAAACCAGGUGAACAGAAACACCGAAACGAGAAAGACUGAUGCAUCUGUCUGUUGUGAGUCGUCUGGAUAUUUUUUUUGGAAGGAUUCUCUUUGAAUUGCCAUGUCGGGAAGACAACCUGUCAUUCUUCAAGAACAACUCUGAAAGGAAAAGUAAGAAGUGUCCUGUAACCAAGAACAAGUUUUUCACAAAAUGGAGAAGACAGCGCUGUAGAUAUCUCUGUUCUCCAGAAUGCUGGCACCUUCUGUUUUUCUGAAGAAAAACUUUUAAAAGGAUUGCUCCACUGACACAUGAAGCAAUCAUUUUUAAUGCCCCGACCUUUUUUGACUGUGGAAAAAAAGAGCAAAGGCACAAGAAAAGCAGGUGAAUAUCGUGGAGCCUCAUUCCUGAGAAAAUAGAGGGAAAGGAAAUGAAAUGGUGCGAAAAAGAGAAUUCAAGUGGGAGCCUGCAACAAUCAGGAAAUGAAUCAAGAGACGAGUGUGAUAAACAAGCCAAUUAUUAUUUUGAAAGUGAUUUUAAGCACCACGUGCUGCAAAAAAAAACAAAAAACAGGGAACAAGGAAACAGCCAGGUAAGCCUAAAUAUCUGAACUGUGUGUCUUCUUCUAAUUGUGUUACAAUUGUGGUUUAGAUUUAUACCUCUACAAAAUAGCUUUAUAAAAGGUCUUUCCCAUGUUUUGUCCCCGCAUGAAUGUAGCAGUGGACAAUAUAUUGGAAACAAUUGAGUAGCAGCGAUGAUCAUAUUUUCAUUUAUGUUUCUGUCCGCAUCAAAACACAAAUAAGAAUUUAAUAAACUCUUUGCUGAAGCUUAAACACAGGA